GGGAGGCAGCAGUGAGGAAUAUUGGUCAAUGGGCGAAAGCCUGAACCAGCCAUCCCGCGUGCAGGAAGACGGCCCUAUGGGUUGUAAACUGCUUUUCCAGGGGGCGAAUAGUCACGACGUGUCGUGGUAUGACUGUACCCUGGGAAUAAGCAUCGGCUAACUCCGUGCCAGCAGCCGCGGUAAUACGGAGGAUGCGAGCGUUAUCCGGAUUUAUUGGGUUUAAAGGGUGCGUAGGCGGAGACAUAAGUCAGUGGUGAAAACCUGCAGCUUAACUGUAGAAUUGCCGUUGAUACUGUGUUUCUUGAGUAUGGUCAAGGCAGGCGGAAUGUGUAAUGUAGCGGUGAAAUGCUUAGAUAUUACACAGAACACCGAUUGCGAAGGCAGCUUGCUGGGCCAUUACUGACGCUGAUGCACGAAAGCGUGGGGAUCGAACAGGAUUAGAUACCCCCGUAGUCCA
Molecule: ribosomal RNA, 457 nt
Filed under: uncultured bacterium
Lineage: Bacteria
Description: bacterial SSU rRNA
Rfam family: Bacterial small subunit ribosomal RNA
Source: RNAcentral